This 253-nucleotide ribosomal RNA is filed under the name uncultured bacterium. RNAcentral's name for it is "partial 16S ribosomal RNA". It matches the Rfam family "Bacterial small subunit ribosomal RNA", at positions 524 to 776 of the family's 1533-position model. The record is from RNAcentral.
UACGUAGGUGGCAAGCGUUGUCCGGAUUUAUUGGGUUUAAAGGGCGCGUAGGCGGCUUUAUAAGUCGGGGGUGAAAGCCUGUGGCUCAACCACAGAAUUGCCUUCGAUACUGUAGAGCUUGAGACCGGAAGAGGUAAGUGGAACUGCGAGUGUAGAGGUGAAAUUCGUAGAUAUUCGCAAGAACACCAGUGGCGAAGGCGGCUUACUGGUCCGGUUCUGACGCUGAGGCGCGAAAGCGUGGGGAGCAAACAGG